GCUUCCUUAGCUCAGUCGGUAGAGCGCGAGUCUCAUACUCGUGAGAGACGUUGGUCUUAUAAUCUCGAGGUCGCAAGUUCGAGCCUUGCAGGGAGCA
The sequence is a transfer RNA, 97 nucleotides long. It matches the Rfam family "tRNA". Rfam says of the family: Transfer RNA (tRNA) molecules are approximately 80 nucleotides in length. Their secondary structure includes four short double-helical elements and three loops (D, anti-codon, and T loops). The record is from Rfam.